AUCUUUAGUGCAAUUAACCUUCAGAGGAUGCGUUUAAGCAUUACACAAUUCUGCGGAAUAUUUAAAAUUCUUUAAUUUCCAAUCCUUCUAUUUAUCCAUCGGAAUUUUUUUAUAUUAGCUAAUUCCAAAAUUUGUGUUUUGAAGAAGUAGGUAUUUGUACCUUAAUGGUGAUGAACGAAUUCGAAGGGGAAACUAUCACGAGGCCUAGAAAAAAGAUCAUCCAUAGCAUCAUCAGCAAGAGCUCCAUUGUAGAACUCUUUUUCUGUGUCACGCUUCCUCUCUCACCUUUGAUAUCUUUGUGUCUCUCUCUCCGGCGAUCUAUCUCUUUUACCGGCCGGCGAUCUUUCUCACUAGCGAUAUCUCUCACUCUCUCCGUUUCUUAGUCGAACCCACACACCUCUCUCUCUCUCAAUAGAUUCAUCUUUUUCUAGCUCAGCCAUUGAUCAGUCUCUCUCUUCACCUCCUUCUUAAUUUAGUUGUGUUUCUAUUUUUCAGCAUGUCUCGUUCGCUUCCCAGUUUUGUUUUUUCAGACCUUUUAGGGCAAAAUAAGUG
Long non-coding RNA from Arabidopsis thaliana (thale cress), 552 nucleotides. RefSeq annotates it as other RNA. The transcript has a single exon. Lineage: Eukaryota; Viridiplantae; Streptophyta; Magnoliopsida; Brassicales; Brassicaceae. The record is from RefSeq.